Long non-coding RNA from Esox lucius (northern pike), 1027 nucleotides. The record is from Ensembl. NCBI's taxonomy places the organism in Eukaryota, Metazoa, Chordata, Actinopteri, Esociformes, Esocidae.
CGGCGCAACCACAUUCAUAGAACUUUUAUUUUGAAGUGAUGAGGUAAAAGAGUGGACAGGAUAUUGCAUCAUCAAGAGGACCCCAACUGACCUUUACUGAUGAGUGAAAGGAUCCAGAUCUCAUUGGAAAGUUUGUUUUGGUGAAAUAUGAGGAGCAGCCAUUUGUGGGGCAGGUUCUUCAGGUGGUUGAUGAGGAGAUUGAGGUCAGCUGCAUGCAGCAGUUGGGCAAAAAAAAUGUUUUUACUUGGCCCCAUCCUGCAGAUGUGAUAUAUUACUACCUAACCAAUGUUCUCCAAGUUCUGUCAGAACCAGAGCCUCUUAAUUCACACAGCUUACACAUGCAGGCUGGGUAAGCUCACUGUAAAUAAGAAAUUACAGUGAAAACACACCGGGCGCAUAGAGCCCGCGUUACAUAGAUAAGUGCCUAAUCCCAGGCCUGGCAGGUCACAAAACGAUCGCUGUUAAACAUUUCAGAAUGUCAUGUUAAGAAAAGCUUUUCUAGUUGUUUGUUGUUAUGAUUAUCCAUGUUUAUCUAGUGUAAGUUAUAUUUUGCAAUCCUGUUACUAUUUGAGGGGAUUAACUUUUUAAUUCCCAGUAUCUUUGAUGGAUUUACAUAUUUAAAAUACAUAUUUUCAGUGGACAUAAGCAGAUGUGUUGUUUUUUAACCAAACUAAAACAUGACUGCCGUUCAACUACAGUAAAAUCUAAUUAAUUAGUCAAUUCUAUUCAUUGUAGCCUAUUCAGUUUCUACCGAAUAAGAAGUGUCAUUUUUGUCAUAUAAUGUUGCCCAAACAAUGUUGUUUGUGAUCAGUUUGAUACGGUUUACUUAAAUGGACUGAUAACCAGUUUUUAAUCUUUACCAAUUGUUCUUUAAUAGACUGUUAACAAAGACACCUGUGAUUUUCUUAUUCUGUAUUGUAAUUAAAAUGCAAUUAUUCAACAUAUUUCUUGUCAUCAUGAAUCUUGUCAUGCGGCACAACCGCAUCGUCAGGUGGUGCAAUCAGGUAAAAUUCUACUUUAAACCAAG